Xylogone sp. PMI_703 is the source of this 92-nucleotide non-coding RNA. The record is from the annotation of a GenBank genome assembly. Lineage: Eukaryota; Fungi; Ascomycota; Leotiomycetes.
GUUGCGUUAGUCCAGUGGUUUAGGACGCCUGUUUCACAUUCAUUGGCCUCUGGCAGCACAGGAAGUCAUGAGUUCGACUCUCAUACGCAACA